Molecule: non-coding RNA, 252 nt
Organism: Vicia faba (fava bean)
Lineage: Eukaryota; Viridiplantae; Streptophyta; Magnoliopsida; Fabales; Fabaceae
Source: the annotation of a GenBank genome assembly
AUGAAAACUAGACCCAGAAAGACAGAAGAAAUAAAAAAAAUAUGGCCAGUAAAGAAGAAAUCCAAAAACAGAGAAAAUAGAAGACAAGAGCAAGAAAAAAGUAAUUUUAGAAUCAAGAAAUCAAAAGUACAUCCUCUCCUGCGACCCCAAAGAGUAAAUAACAAGUCAAGAAAUUUAUGCCCUAUAAAGAAUCAAGAAAUAUUAAACGAAAAAGAAUUUACAAGAGAGGGACAAAUCAAAACAAAGAAAUAA